Molecule: ribosomal RNA, 406 nt
Filed under: uncultured bacterium
Lineage: Bacteria
Description: partial 16S ribosomal RNA
Rfam family: Bacterial small subunit ribosomal RNA
Source: RNAcentral
AUUGAACGCUGGCGGCAGGCCUAACACAUGCAAGUCGAACGAGUGGCGGACGGGUGAGUAAUGUAUGGGAAACUGCCCGAUGGAGGGGGAUAACUACUGGAAAGGGUAGCUAAUACCGCAUACCAUCGGAUGUGCCCAGAUGGGAUUAGCUAGUAGGUGGGGUAACGGCUCACCUAGGCGACGAUCCCUAGCUGGUCUGAGAGGAUGACCAUCCACACUGGGACUGAGACACGGCCCAGACUCCUACGGGAGGCAGCAGUGGGGAAUAUUGGACAAUGGGGGCAAGCCUGAUGCAGCCAUGCCGCGUGUAUGAUGAAGGCCUUCGGGUUGUAAAGUACUUUUGGCAAGGAGGCGGUAUCCGCAGAAGAAGCACCGGCUAACUCCGUGCCAGCAGCCGCGGUAAUAC